GACGAACGCUGGCGGCGUGCUUAACACAUGCAAGUCGAGCGGUAAGGGCCCUUUCGGGGGUACACGAGCGGCGAACGGGUGAGUAACACGUGGGUGACCCUGCCCUCAGCUCUGGGAUAAGCCUGGGAAACUGGGUCUAAUACUGGAUAUGACUCCACGGUGCAUGUCGUGGGGUGGAAAGCCUUGUGCGGCUGAGGAUGGGCCCGCGGCCUAUCAGCUUGUUGGUGGGGNGAUGGCCUACCAAGGCGACGACGGGUAGCCGGCCUGAGAGGGCGACCGGCCACACUGGGACUGAGACACGGCCCAGACUCCUACGGGAGGCAGCAGUGGGGAAUCUUGCGCAAUGGGCGAAAGCCUGACGCAGCGACGCCGCGUGAGGGAUGACGGCCU
Molecule: ribosomal RNA, 390 nt
Filed under: uncultured bacterium
Lineage: Bacteria
Description: bacterial SSU rRNA
Rfam family: Bacterial small subunit ribosomal RNA
Source: RNAcentral